RNAcentral lists this ribosomal RNA (468 nucleotides) under uncultured bacterium. RNAcentral describes it as "partial 16S ribosomal RNA". It matches the Rfam family "Bacterial small subunit ribosomal RNA", at positions 28 to 507 of the family's 1533-position model. The record is from RNAcentral.
GACGAACGCUGGCGGCGUGCUUAACACAUGCAAGUCGAACGGAAAGGCCCUGCUUUUGUGGGGUGCUCGAGUGGCGAACGGGUGAGUAACACGUGAGUAACCUGCCCUUGACUUUGGGAUAACUUCAGGAAACUGGGGCUAAUACCGGAUAGGAGCUCCUGCCGCAUGGUGGGGGUUGGAAAGUUUCGGCGGUUGGGGAUGGACUCGCGGCUUAUCAGCUUGUUGGUGGGGUAGUGGCUUACCAAGGCUUUGACGGGUAGCCGGCCUGAGAGGGUGACCGGCGACAUUGGGACUGAGAUACGGCCCAGACUCCUACGGGAGGCAGCAGUGGGGAAUAUGGCACAAUGGGCGGAAGCCUGAUGCAGCAACGCCGCGUGCGGGAUGACGGCCUUCGGGUUGUAAACCGCUUUCGCCGGUGACGAAGCGUGAGUGACGGUAAUGGGUAAAGAAGCACCGGCUAACUACGUG